RNAcentral lists this unclassified non-coding RNA (354 nucleotides) under uncultured fungus. Its description in RNAcentral is "partial contains small subunit ribosomal RNA, internal transcribed spacer 1, and 5.8S ribosomal RNA". The stretch from base 1 to 128 matches the Rfam family "Eukaryotic small subunit ribosomal RNA", at positions 1759 to 1831 of the family's 1831-position model. The record is from RNAcentral. Lineage: Eukaryota; Fungi.
UCAAACUUGGUCAUUUAGAGGAAGUAAAAGUCGUAACAAGGUUUCCGUAGGGUAAGUCAAUAAAAUCCAUUCAAUCAGUAAGAAUUUCGAACUAACAUUUUCACAGUGAACCUGCGGAAGGAUCAUUACUGAGUGUCGAGUGACCUUCGGGUCCUCAACCUCCCACACAUUGUGUACCUUACCUCUGUUUCUUCGGCGGAUCGUCAGUAUUUUCUGCCUCUGGUCUAGUACUAGAGUGUUAUCUGUCGAAGACAUCAUUUCAAAUCUUGAUUUACUGUUGUCUGAUUUGAAAAUUCAAAAGUUAAAACUUUCAACAACGGAUCUCUUGGUUCUGGCAUCGAUGAAGAACGCAGC